GACGAACGCUGGCGGCGUGCUUAACACAUGCAAGUCGAACGGGCCCGCCCCUGUUUUUGGGGGUGGGUUGAGUGGCGAACGGGUGAGUAUCACGUGAGUAACCUGCCCCCUGCUCCUGGAUAACUGCUUGAAAGGGCGGCUAAUACGGGGUGUGCCGGCUGGUCCGCAUGGGCCUGGUCGGGAUAGUUUCAUCUUCGGGUGUUUCGGUGGGGGAUGGGCUCGCGGCCUAUCAGCUUGUUGGUGGGGUGAUGGCCCACCAAGGCGGUGACGGGUAGCCGGCCUGAGAGGGUGGGCGGCCACACUGGGACUGAGACACGGCCCAGACUCCUGCGGGAGGCAGCGGUGGGGGGUAUUGCACAAUGGGCGGAAGCCUGAUGCAGCGACGUCGCGUGAGGGAUGGAGGCCUUCGGGUUGUGAACCUCUUUCUCCGGUGGUGAAGGCCCUGUCCGUUGCGGCGGGGUUGACGGUAGCCGGGUAUGAAGCGCCGGCUAACUACGUG
This 499-nucleotide ribosomal RNA is filed under the name uncultured bacterium. RNAcentral's name for it is "partial 16S ribosomal RNA". It matches the Rfam family "Bacterial small subunit ribosomal RNA", at positions 28 to 507 of the family's 1533-position model. The record is from RNAcentral.